Molecule: non-coding RNA, 73 nt
Organism: Thermochaetoides thermophila DSM 1495
Lineage: Eukaryota; Fungi; Ascomycota; Sordariomycetes; Sordariales; Chaetomiaceae
Source: the annotation of a RefSeq genome assembly
GCGGGUUUAGCUCAGUUGGGAGAGCGUCAGACUGAAGAUCUGAAGGUCCCGUGUUCGAUCCACGGAAACCGCA